Molecule: non-coding RNA, 38 nt
Filed under: Trypanosoma brucei brucei
Lineage: Eukaryota; Euglenozoa; Kinetoplastea; Trypanosomatida; Trypanosomatidae
Source: RNAcentral
AAAUAAACAGAUCGUGGUAGAAGUGAUUAGAUUAAAUG